GAUGAACGCUGGCGGCAGGCUUAACACAUGCAAGUCGAGCGGGGUGAUGGUGCUUGCACUAUCACUUAGCGGCGGACGGGUGAGUAAUGCUUAGGAAUCUGCCUAUUAGUGGGGGACAACAUCUCGAAAGGGAUGCUAAUACCGCAUACGUCCUACGGGAGAAAGCAGGGGAUCACUUGUGACCUUGCGCUAAUAGAUGAGCCUAAGUCGGAUUAGCUAGUUGGUGGGGUAAAGGCCUACCAAGGCGACGAUCUGUAGCGGGUCUGAGAGGAUGAUCCGCCACACUGGGACUGAGACACGGCCCAGACUCCUACGGGAGGCAGCAGUGGGGAAUAUUGGACAAUGGGGGGAACCCUGACCCAGCCAUGCCGCGUGUGUGAAGAAGGCCUUAUGGUUGUAAAGCACUUUAAGCGAGGAGGAGGCUCUUUUGGUUAAUACCCAAGAUGAGUGGACGUUACUCGCAGAAUAAGCACCGGCUAACUCUGCGCCAGCCGCCGCCGUAA
RNAcentral lists this ribosomal RNA (503 nucleotides) under uncultured bacterium. Its description in RNAcentral is "partial 16S ribosomal RNA". It matches the Rfam family "Bacterial small subunit ribosomal RNA", at positions 28 to 523 of the family's 1533-position model. The record is from RNAcentral.